RNAcentral lists this long non-coding RNA (359 nucleotides) under Coffea arabica (coffee). RNAcentral describes it as "long non-coding RNA (CARA_LNC003136)". The record is from RNAcentral. Lineage: Eukaryota; Viridiplantae; Streptophyta; Magnoliopsida; Gentianales; Rubiaceae.
UUUCAUUCUUCAUCCUUCGUGUACUUUGUUUGAUUUCCUUGAUUUAAUUCUUCUUCAUAUUUAAUUAAUCUUCAUCCAUUCCACAAUCCAAAACACACCACCAGCAGCACCCUUUUGUUUUUUUUUGGAGGGCUCCCAGGCGUCCCUACCAUGUGAAUUGAACUGCUUUCUUUUUGACUGGAAGAGGAAAUGAACGGCGUGAGAAGUUUCGCAGAGAUAGUUAAAAACAACAGAAGAUUAGAAGUUUCACCUAACAGGCAAAAGCUUCUCCUCCUUUACUAGUUGUUGAAAGCAAAGCUCACUUUACCAGGAUGGCUGACCCUGUUGUCUCUGUUGUUAUUGAGAGAACUAGCAAUCUG